UACAGAGGGUGCGAGCGUUUGUUCGGAAUUAUUGGGCGUAAAGGGCGCGUAGGCGGUGCGGUAAGUCACCUGUGAAAUCUCCUGGCUCAACUGGGAGCUUGCAGGCGAAACUGCCGUGCUGGAGUGUGGGGAGAGGUGCGUGGAAUUCCGGGUGGAGUGGUGAAAUGCGUAGAUAUCCGGAGGAACACCAAUGGCGAAGGCAGUGUCCUGGGAAGUACCUGACGCUCAGGUGCGAAAGCUAGGGGAGCGAACAGG
Molecule: ribosomal RNA, 255 nt
Filed under: uncultured bacterium
Lineage: Bacteria
Description: partial 16S ribosomal RNA
Rfam family: Bacterial small subunit ribosomal RNA
Source: RNAcentral